UCAGCAGCCGCGGUAAUACGUAGGUGGCGAGCGUUGUCCGGAAUUACUGGGCGUAAAGGAUGAGUAGGCGGCCUGUUAAGUCGGGUGUGAAACAUCGGGGCUCAACCCCGAUCUUGCACUUGAUACUGGCAGGCUUGAGGGCAGGAGAGGAAUGCGGAAUUCCCGGUGUAGCGGUAAAAUGCGUAGAUAUCGGGAGGAACACCAGUGGCGAAGGCGGCAUUCUGGACUGUACCUGACGCUGAGUCAUGAAAGCUAGGGGAGCGAACGGGAUUAGAUACCCCGGUAGUCCUAGCCGUAAACGAUGGGUACUAGGUGUGGGAGGUAUCGACCCCUCCCGUGCCGCAGUUAACGCAAUAAGUACCCCGCCUGGGGAGUACGGCCGCAAGGUUGAAACUUAAAGGAAUUGGCGGGGGAU
Molecule: ribosomal RNA, 415 nt
Filed under: uncultured bacterium
Lineage: Bacteria
Description: bacterial SSU rRNA
Rfam family: Bacterial small subunit ribosomal RNA
Source: RNAcentral